CCCAGUUACACAUACAUGUAUACAUUCUUUUUUCUCACAUUAUCAAGCUCCAUCAUAAGUGACCAGACAUAGUUCCCACUGCUACACACUGGGAUCUCAUUGCUAAUCCAUUCCAAAGGCAACAGUCUGCAUCUAUUAACCCCAAGCACCCCAUCCAUACCACUCCCUCCUCCUCCUCCUCCCUCUCCCCCUUGGCAACCACAAGUCUAUUCUCCAAGUCCAUGAGUUUCUUUUCUGUGAAAAGGUUCAUUUGUGCCAUAUAUUAGAUUCCAGAUAUAAGUGAUAUCAUAUGGUAUUUGUCUUUCACUUUCUGAGUUCCUUCACUCAGGAUGAGAGUCUCUAGUUCCAUCCAUGUUGCUACAAAUGGCAUUAUGUCAUUCUUUUAUAUGGCUGAGUAGUAUUCCAUUGUGUAUAUAUACCACAGCUUCCUAAUCCAAUCAUCUGUCAGUGCACAUUUAGGUUGUUUCCCUGUCUUGGCUACUGUGAAUGGUGCUGCAAUGAACAUGCGGAUGCAUGUGUUUUUUUAAGGAAAAUUUUGUCUGGAUAUAUGACCAAAAGUAGGAUUGCUGGGUCAUAUAGUAGUUCUAUGUAUAGUUUUCUAAGGUACCUCCAUACUGUUCUCCAUAGUGGUUGUACCAGCUUACAUUCCCACCAACAGUGCAGGAGGGUUCCCUUUUCUCCACACCCCCUCCAGCAUUUGUUAUUUCCUAUAUAUUUAUUCAUCAGAGAUUUGCUAAUUAGAAGAAGUGAAUACAAAGUUGGAAAGCAACAAAUUAGUGUAAAAAAGACUUAAAAAAGAUUUUGGUCUUUCUUCAUUUGCAUUCACUCUCCCGUAAUACCUCAUAUCCUCUCUCUUUUUACCACAUCCUCCCAACUGAUGACCUUUACUUUGAGUAUAAAUACAAUACAGGCAGUAAAUACAACCAGAGGAGAUCAAUUUCAUCCUCUUCUUUCCAGUGUCACCUCCUUCCCACACCUGUAUCCACAUACUCUGCCAUCCCUUCUAAAGUGGAAGGCAUAUUUGUACCUCUAAGACCAACUGCUAUACCUGUAAAACCAUCCCUUCUCAAGGUCAUUGCUUCUGUGACUAUUGCCUUUCUCUCCUGCAUAAAUUUGUUCCUUUCUGCUCCAUCAUUUCUCUCAGCAUCAUAAUGAUGCCUCAACUCCAUCCUUCCAUAAAUACCUUUCUUGACCCCACAUCCUUUUGCAACUAAUGCCUCAUUCUCUGUUCUCCUCAUUAGUAAAUCUGUGAAAAAUUGUCACCUACAUUCACUAUUUCCACUUGCUAACUCUUAAUCUUUUCUCAGUAUCCUCUAAUUGGAAUUUGGUGCCCACCAUACAAUAAAUACAACACAGGCAGUAAAUACAACCAGAGGAGAUACAUUACAAUAACUCAUUCAGCCCAAGUCAAUGUUCAUAACUUACCAAUAAAGACUAAAUUUCCCACCUUUUAGGCAUUUAAUAAAGAAAAAUUAUAAUUAUUUACAUGAAUUUAUUUAAAAUAAGUUAAUUAUACUGAUAAGAAUAAAAAUAUUUUUGCUUAUAGUUAUAUGCUUGAUAUGGUAGAGUCUCAUGAGGUCUGGCAUAUUAACUUGCUCUGAUGAAUUCUGCUCUGCCUGAUAUCAAGCUGAAUAAGCUUUUAUCCUUCCUUCCAUCCUUCCUUCUCUCAUUUUUUUCUUACUUCAUUCUCUUUCUUCUUUUUUUUUAAAUCAACUGAGUAUCUUCAGCUCUAACUCAGGACUGAGUGAAAUCAGUCAGAUUUAAAUGAUAAUAAUAGAAUUGUGCCUCAACAUAGUAACAUUGUAUUCAUCUCUUAAAUUAUUUUUAGUUGUGCAGAAGAUAAAUUAUAUGCGAUUUCUAAAGAAGCUUUGUCAAGCUCUAGCAAACUAGCCUAAUUAUGAAAAAUUAAAUUUUCUGUAAUGAUCUCGUCUUUUGAGUGUUUAAUAGAAAAUUACAUUUGCUCAGUCAUGAAUUUGGUUCUAAGACUUUUCAAGUGGUUUUUAGAAUUUUUAACUAUUAUAUAUAAGUGCAAUUUCAGCCUUCCACUAGUUUUUUGCAUAAAUCACUUAAAAAUUAUCUGUAGAUUUGUACGUCUUUUAAUUAAAAAGAGGCAAAGAUAAUGAAUUUCCUCCCUAAAAUCUGAAUACAUCUUGGCAUUAUGGCACUGAUACACAUACAGAACUAAUCUCUGUUAGUUUUGUAAAUAGCAGGCUAGAAUACUUCUCAUUUCAGCCUUUCAGUAAUAUGAUUUAACAGUGUAAUUAUUAUUCAUGUGACAAAUAUUUGCACAUUCUAAUAUGAAUAAGAAGAAAGUAUUUCUUAUUUUUCUUUAAAGUCAUAUUGAGGUUUCUAGGGAAAUGUGGGAAGAUGUAAAAGAGAACAUAACUGUGGCUCAAGAAACAACAGCUUAGAAUUUGAGCUUCUAGGAACUGUCAGGAGCUCCCGUCAUUUAAAUUCAACUUACUCAUAUGUGGGAGAGCAUGUGAGAGGUAACAAUGGCACACAAAAGGUAAAAUAGACAAGUUGUACAAAUUAAAAAAUGGAAUGGAGAAUUUUAAUUUAAAAUUUUCUUUGUAUUCUUUAAGUGGAAUUUUUCCUUCACUGGAGGACAAAUUCAAAGUUCAGCUUUUUGGUGAUAAUGAGAUAGUAAUGUAUGCAAGUUAUUCAGAAAGAAAAAUUGCUUUUUAUAACUUGAUAAGGUAAUUUUAGUUACAGCAGAUAUACUGAAUAGCAUCACUGGCAAAAGUGGAAAAAGUUACAUCCUUACCAAGGAUUACUUUGUCAUCUUACCUAUUUAAAAAACAAAAACAAAAAAACACCAACUAUUAGACUGAUACUGGCUUUUAUAUGGAUUCUAAAAUACAAAGAAAAAAAAUACAGUAUAAAUUUUUAAAACUUCAGGAGUUCCUGUUAUGGGUCAGCGGUAACAAACCUGACUAGUAUCCAUGAGGACGUGGGUUUGAUCCUUGGCCUCGCUCAGUGGGUUAGGGAUCCAGCAUUGCUGUGAGCUGUGGUGUAGGUCACGGAUGCGGCUUGGACCCUACAUUGCUGUAGCUGUGGCAUAGGCCAGCAGCUACAGCUCCGAUUUGACCCCUAGCCUGAGAACUUCCAUAUGCCU
Molecule: long non-coding RNA, 3118 nt
Filed under: Sus scrofa (pig)
Lineage: Eukaryota; Metazoa; Chordata; Mammalia; Artiodactyla; Suidae
Description: lncRNA (ENSSSCG00055030037.1)
Source: RNAcentral